RNAcentral lists this long non-coding RNA (222 nucleotides) under Coffea arabica (coffee). RNAcentral's name for it is "long non-coding RNA (CARA_LNC000216)". Lineage: Eukaryota; Viridiplantae; Streptophyta; Magnoliopsida; Gentianales; Rubiaceae. The record is from RNAcentral.
UUUGCCCAUGCCUUAGUUCCAGACCCCCUGACAAGCAGCUAGUAUGCAAAAGAAACACAAAAAGAAAUCAAAUAAAUCAAGGACUCCAUCAAAAGAGAACAAAUAUAAUCGAGGGCACCAAUAGAAAACCUCGGCCAAACUAGACUGGUUUCUAGUCAAUUUCUUCGCUGGCUUUCACCAAGUUUCAUAGACUUUUAGUCUUCUCUGAGUUUGCAUUCGACC